This 773-nucleotide ribosomal RNA is filed under the name uncultured Neocallimastigales. RNAcentral's name for it is "partial large subunit ribosomal RNA". It matches the Rfam family "Eukaryotic large subunit ribosomal RNA", at positions 24 to 644 of the family's 3401-position model. The record is from RNAcentral. Lineage: Eukaryota; Fungi; Neocallimastigomycota; Neocallimastigomycetes; Neocallimastigales.
UAUCUCUGUAGAGUCUGCAUAUCAAUAAGCGGAGGAAAAGAAACUAACAAGGAUUCCCUUAGUAACGGCGAGUGAAGCGGGAAGAGCUCAAAUUUGAAAUCUUCAAGGUUCUACCUUGACGAAUUGUAGUUUAAAGAAGUGUUUUCUGUUAGAUGAGUAGCAAAAGUUCCUUGGAAUGGGACAUCAUAGAGGGUGAGAAUCCCGUAUUUGGUUAUUCAUUCUAGCUUUGUGAUACACUUUCAAAGAGUCGGAUUGUUUGGGAAUGCAGUCCAAAUGGGUGGUAAAUUUCAUCUAAAGCUAAAUAUUGGCGAGAGACCGAUAGCGAACAAGUACCGUGAGGGAAAGAUGAAAAGAACUUUGAAAAGAGAGUUAAACAGUACGUGAAAUUGUCAAAAGGGAAGCGUUUGACACCAGUGUUGUUUUUCCGAAAAUCAAUUACGAAUGGCUUGAUUUUGUGUUGUAUUGACCUUAUCAGCUUUCUUCACUUUUUUCGAGUCUUUCUUAAUGCACUUUUUGGUUAACAAGUCAACAUCAAUUUCUUUUGUUGUAAAAGAGUAUUCGGAAGGUGGCUUUCUUUUCGGAGAAAGUGUUUAUAGCCCUAUACUUCUACAAUCGGAGAGAUUGAGGUCUGCAGCGUAGAUCCUUCGGGGUUAGAUACACUUGUGCUAAGUUGUAGCUUUUCAUAGACAACUUGUUGACUAUGUUUAGUCAUGCGGCUUACUCGCUUGUGCUAUUUUACCUACGCUUAGGAUGUUGACUGAUAUGUAGUCGUA